Molecule: long non-coding RNA, 329 nt
Organism: Calidris pugnax (ruff)
Lineage: Eukaryota; Metazoa; Chordata; Aves; Charadriiformes; Scolopacidae
Exons: 2
Source: RefSeq, a predicted model, not a curated record
CACUUGUCACCCAGGAAGAGGGGAGAUUUGGAUCCCAUUUGGAUAUUCUGGAGAAGACACUUCUUUGCAGCAGAGGGUGACUGUGCCCAAACCAGGCACUUGCAGAGGAAUAUCCGAGUCUGGAAACUGUCCGGGGGGUUGGUCCUGCUGAUUCCUGACACCAUGUGCUGCUUGGGAGAGAAGAACUGGAGGAGCAAGACCAGGACUGACCCAUUUCAAGACCUGCCCUGGGACACCUGGGAUCUCCAGCACCUUCCUGGGAUCUCCAGCACCUUCCUGGGAUCUCCAGCCAUGGAUUUUGGGAUGCAAACAGGAGAUUUUUGCUGGCA